RNAcentral lists this ribosomal RNA (440 nucleotides) under uncultured bacterium. RNAcentral's name for it is "partial 16S ribosomal RNA". It matches the Rfam family "Bacterial small subunit ribosomal RNA", at positions 338 to 795 of the family's 1533-position model. The record is from RNAcentral.
CCUACGGGUGGCAGCAGUGGGGGAUAUUGCACAAUGGGGGGAACCCUGAUGCAGCGACGCCGCGUGGGUGAAGAAGCGCCUCGGCGCGUAAAGCCCUGUCAGCAGGGAAGAAAAUGACGGUACCUGACGAAGAAGCCCCGGCUAACUACGUGCCAGCAGCCGCGGUAAUACGUAGGGGGCAAGCGUUAUCCGGAUUUACUGGGUGUCAAGGGGGCGCAGACGGCGGUGCAAGCCAGGAGUGAAAGGCCGGGGGCCAACCCCGGGACUGCUCUUGGAACUGCGUGGCUGGAGUGGAGGAGGGGCAGGCGGAAUUCGUGGUGUAGCGGUGAAAUGCGUAGAUAUCAGGAGGAACACCGGUGGCGAAGGCGGCCUGCUGGACUGAAACUGACGUUGAGGCCCGAAAGCGUGGGGAGCAAACAGGAUUAGAUACCCGAGUAGUC